RNAcentral lists this ribosomal RNA (503 nucleotides) under uncultured bacterium. RNAcentral's name for it is "partial 16S ribosomal RNA". It matches the Rfam family "Bacterial small subunit ribosomal RNA", at positions 29 to 523 of the family's 1533-position model. The record is from RNAcentral.
AUUGAACGCUGGCGGCACGCCUAACACAUGCAAGUCGAGCGGUAACAUGGUUAGUAGCAAUACUAACUGAUGACGAGCGGCGGACGGGUGAGGAACACGUAGGAACCUGCCCUCGAGUGGGGGACAACCAGGGGAAACUCUGGCUAAUACCGCAUGAACUCGAGAGAGCAAAGCUGCCCGCAAGGGUGGCGUUCGGGGAGGGGCCUGCGUCCGAUUAGCUAGUUGGUGGGGUAAGAGCCUACCAAGGCGAUGAUCGGUAACUGGUCUGAGAGGACGGCCAGUCACACUGGGACUGAGACACGGCCCAGACUCCUACGGGAGGCAGCAGUGGGGAAUAUUGGACAAUGGGGGCAACCCUGAUCCAGCGAUGCCGCGUGAGUGAAGAAGGCCUUCGGGUCGUAAAGCUCUUUAGGCCGGGACGAAGUGCAUGGGAGGAAAUGCCUGUGUGUUGACGGUACCGGCAGAAUAAGCACCGGCAAACUCUGUGCCAGCAGCCGCCGUAA